This 465-nucleotide ribosomal RNA is filed under the name uncultured bacterium. RNAcentral's name for it is "partial 16S ribosomal RNA". It matches the Rfam family "Bacterial small subunit ribosomal RNA", at positions 338 to 795 of the family's 1533-position model. The record is from RNAcentral.
CCUACGGGUGGCAGCAGUGGGGAAUAUUGCGCAAUGGGCGAAAGCCUGACGCAGCGACGCCGCGUGAGGGAUGAAGGUCUUCGGAUCGUAAACCUCUGUCAGCAGGGAAGAACGGUCACUUUGCUAAUCAGCAGUGCAUUGACGGUACCUGCAAAGGCAGCACCGGCUAACUCCGUGCCAGCAGCCGCGGUAAUACGGAGGGUGCGAGCGUUAAUCGGAAUUACUGGGCGUAAAGCGCUCGUAGGCGGUAUGUCAAGUCAAGGGUGAAAUCCCCGCGCUCAACGUGGGAACUGCCUUUGAAACUGGAAAACUGGAGUGUGGGAGAGGAGAGUGGAAUUCCAGGUGUAGGAGUGAAAUCCGUAGAUAUCUGGAGGAACAUCAGUGGCGAAGGCGGCCUGCUGGACGACAACUGACGGUGAGGCGCGAAAGCGUGGGGAGCAAACAGGAUUAGAUACCCUUGUAGUC